This 253-nucleotide ribosomal RNA is filed under the name uncultured bacterium. Its description in RNAcentral is "partial 16S ribosomal RNA". It matches the Rfam family "Bacterial small subunit ribosomal RNA", at positions 524 to 776 of the family's 1533-position model. The record is from RNAcentral.
UACGGAGGGUGCAAGCGUUAUCCGGAUUCACUGGGUUUAAAGGGUGCGUAGGUGGUUUUGUAAGUCAGCGGUGAAAGCCCGGAGCUCAACUCCGGAACUGCCGUUGAUACUGCUCAACUUGAAUCAAGUAGAGGUGGAUGGAAUAAUACAUGUAGCGGUGAAAUGCUUAGAUAUGUAUUAGAACACCGAUUGCGAAGGCAGUUCACUAUGCUUGUAUUGACACUGAGGCACGAAAGCGUGGGGAUCAAACAGG